RNAcentral lists this long non-coding RNA (236 nucleotides) under Capsicum annuum. RNAcentral describes it as "long non-coding RNA (CANN_LNC016548)". The record is from RNAcentral. Lineage: Eukaryota; Viridiplantae; Streptophyta; Magnoliopsida; Solanales; Solanaceae.
UCCACUAACAAGGUUGUUUGGGGGAGCAUAUAGUCGAUAGUGGCUGAGAGAGCUUUCCACCCACUCCAUAACACCGACGGCUCCCCCUCCUAAAAUAAGAGUGUCUCAACUAAAGGUCGUGUACAACACGAGUACUACGAACUUGUUGCAGAAAGAAUGACUCAGGUUAUGUACAUGAUGCCAGAUAUAAAGCAGUAAUAUAUAAAGAAAAAAUGUAAACACAUAGCAAGUAGGAC